CCUACGGGUGGCAGCAGUGAGGAAUAUUGGUCAAUGGGCGCGAGCCUGAACCAGCCAAGUAGCGUGAAGGAUGACUGCCCUACGGGUUGUAAACUUCUUUUAUAAAGGAAUAAAGUGAGGCACGUGUGCCUUUUUGUAUGUACUUUAUGAGUAAGGAUCGGCUAACUCCGUGCCAGCAGCCGCGGUAAUACGGAGGAUCCGAGCGUUAUCCGGAUUUAUUGGGUUUAAAGGGAGCGUAGAUGGGUUGUUAAGUCAGUUGUGAAAGUUUGCGGCUCAACCGUAAAAUUGCAAUUGAUACUGGCAGUCUUGAGUACAGUUGAGGUAGGCGGAAUUCGUGGUGUAGCGGUGAAAUGCUUAGAUAUCACGAAGAACUCCGAUCGCGAAGGCAUUGUACCGGAGCAAGACUGACGCUGAGGCUCGAAAGUGCGGGUAUCAAACAGGAUUAGAUACCCGUGUAGUC
RNAcentral lists this ribosomal RNA (460 nucleotides) under uncultured bacterium. RNAcentral's name for it is "partial 16S ribosomal RNA". It matches the Rfam family "Bacterial small subunit ribosomal RNA", at positions 338 to 795 of the family's 1533-position model. The record is from RNAcentral.